Molecule: ribosomal RNA, 692 nt
Filed under: Lithographa tesserata
Lineage: Eukaryota; Fungi; Ascomycota; Lecanoromycetes; Baeomycetales; Xylographaceae
Description: SSU rRNA
Rfam family: Bacterial small subunit ribosomal RNA
Source: RNAcentral
UCUAUCUGUCUUGACCAAAUCACGUGCCAGCAGUCGCGGUAAUACGUGGGAGACUAGUGUUAUUCAUCUUUAAUUGGUUUAAAGGGUACUUAGACGGUUUACUAAGCCCCUAAAGGGUACUAAUAAACUAGAGUUUUAUGAGAGGGGGGGAGUACUAAAGAGUGUAGAGAUGAAAUUCUGUCAUACCUGACUUGGAACAGGCAACAGCUAAAGCAACCCCUUAUGUAAAAACUGACGUUGAAAGACGAAGGCUUGGGACACCAACAGGAUUAGAUACCCCAGCAGUCCUUGCAGACAAUGAUGAAUGUCAUAGAUUGGAAUUAUAAAAUAUCUUUUUCUAGAUAUAUAUAAAUAUAGAAGAGAUGUUUUUUUUGUCUAUAAAUGAAAGUGUAAGCAUUCCACCUCAAGAGUAAUGUGGCAACGCANAAACUGAAAUCAUUAGACCGUUUCUGAAACCAGUAGUGAAGUAUGUUGUUUAAUUUGUUGAUCCGCAAAACACCUUACCACAAUUUGAAUAUAACUAUAUACAAGCGCUGCACGGCUGUCUUCAGUUAAUGUCGUGAGAUUUUGGUUAGUUCCAUAAAAUUAACGUAAACCCUUGCUUUAUUUUUCAUCAUAAAGUAGUUCACCGCUAUAUUGGAUUUGAUAAAAGGGAAUAAGACAAGUCAAUAUGGCCUUAAUAUUGUGGCUAU